CUAAGUCAUAUGACUUGCACCUGACU
RNAcentral lists this non-coding RNA (26 nucleotides) under Mus musculus (house mouse). Lineage: Eukaryota; Metazoa; Chordata; Mammalia; Rodentia; Muridae. The record is from RNAcentral.